Molecule: ribosomal RNA, 253 nt
Filed under: uncultured bacterium
Lineage: Bacteria
Description: partial 16S ribosomal RNA
Rfam family: Bacterial small subunit ribosomal RNA
Source: RNAcentral
UACAGAGGUCCCAUGCGUUGUUCGGAUUCACUGGGCGUAAAGGGUGCGUAGGUGGCCAGGUAAGUUCGGUGUGAAAGCUCGGAGCUUAACUCCGAAAUGUCAUUGAAUACUAUCUGGCUAGAGGGUCGGAGGGGAGACUGGAAUUCUCGGUGUAGCAGUGAAAUGCGUAGAUAUCGAGAGGAACACCAGUGGCGAAGGCGAGUCUCUGGACGACACCUGACACUGAGGCACGAAAGCUAGGGGAGCAAACAGG